Molecule: ribosomal RNA, 480 nt
Filed under: uncultured bacterium
Lineage: Bacteria
Description: bacterial SSU rRNA
Rfam family: Bacterial small subunit ribosomal RNA
Source: RNAcentral
GAUUAGCUAGUUGGUGGGGUAAAGGCCUACCAAGGCGACGAUCCAUAGCUGGUCUGAGAGGAUGAUCAGCCACAUUGGGACUGAGACACGGCCCAAACUCCUACGGGAGGCAGCAGUGGGGAAUAUUGGACAAUGGGCGCAAGCCUGAUCCAGCCAUGCCGCGUGAGUGAUGAAGGCCUUAGGGUUGUAAAGCUCUUUCACCGGAGAAGAUAAUGACGGUAUCCGGAGAAGAAGCCCCGGCUAACUUCGUGCCAGCAGCCGCGGUAAUACGAAGGGGGCUAGCGUUGUUCGGAAUUACUGGGCGUAAAGCGCACGUAGGCGGAUAUUUAAGUCAGGGGUGAAAUCCCAGAGCUCAACUCUGGAACUGCCUUUGAUACUGGGUAUCUUGAGUAUGGAAGAGGUAAGUGGAAUUCCGAGUGUAGAGGUGAAAUUCGUAGAUAUUCGGAGGAACACCAGUGGCGAAGGCGGCUUACUGGUCCA